Molecule: ribosomal RNA, 253 nt
Filed under: uncultured prokaryote
Description: partial 16S ribosomal RNA
Rfam family: Bacterial small subunit ribosomal RNA
Source: RNAcentral
ACGAAGGGGGCUAGCGUUGUUCGGAUUUACUGGGCGCAAAGCGCGUGUAGGCGGACUUGUAAGUUGGGGGUGAAAUCCCGAGGCUCAACCUCGGAACUGCCUCCAAAACUACAAGUCUGGAGCAAGAUAGAGGCAAGUGGAAUUGCGAGUGUAGAGGUGAAAUUCGUAGAUAUUGGGAAGAACACCAGUGGCGAAGGCGGCUAACUGGUCCAGAUCUGACGCUGAGGUGCGAAAGCGUGGGGAGCAAACAGGA